Molecule: ribosomal RNA, 253 nt
Filed under: uncultured bacterium
Lineage: Bacteria
Description: partial 16S ribosomal RNA
Rfam family: Bacterial small subunit ribosomal RNA
Source: RNAcentral
UACGUAGGGUGCAAGCGUUAAUCGGAAUUAUUGGGCGUAAAGCGUGCGCAGGCGGCUUUGCAAGUCAGAUGUGAAAUCCCCGGGCUCAACCUGGGAACUGCAUUUGUGACUGCAAGGCUAGAGUACGGUAGAGGGGGAUGGAACUCCGCGUGUAGCAGUGAAAUGCGUAGAUAUGCGGAGGAACACCGAUGGCGAAGGCAAUCCCCUGGACCUGUACUGACGCUCAUGCACGAAAGCGUGGGGAGCAAACAGG